RNAcentral lists this long non-coding RNA (1900 nucleotides) under Homo sapiens (human). RNAcentral's name for it is "GDNF antisense RNA 1". The record is from RNAcentral. Lineage: Eukaryota; Metazoa; Chordata; Mammalia; Primates; Hominidae.
ACCUGCACGGUGGUUUUAUGGGCCGAAUGCUCACUAAACUGACUUAUUCUUCCCGGUAACCUGCAUACAGACCUCCCAGGCCCUGGCGUGAAGGUGGCACUGUGACUAGCUCUUGCCGAUGGAAUGGGAGGAGUCAGUUAGAAAUUUUCAUAUGGUCAAAAUACCCAUGGAAUAUAUGAGUGGCAGCAGUAAACAAUCCUUGAAGUUCUUGCUUGUUUAACUUGACUGUUGGUGAUGCCCAAUGAGGCCCUGUCUGCUCCAAGCAAAUUACAUAAAAAAGAUGUGAAUAAAAACUCAUCAAAUACUAACAGAGACCGUUCCACCAGUGAUGAGAGCAUUCAGUGAGAGCCUGGUGUUCUGCUCAGUACCAAGUGCAGCACUUUCACAUGCUUGAUGCUCAAUGAAUGUUGAAGGAGAGAGUGAAUGGAUACAGAGCUGAAUGAGUAGGUUCACCCUUGUGACUCUCUCAGAGGACUGCCCCAUUGUCUGCAAGCCUGAAAACCAGAAGUGCCUAAGGGGUUGCAUCCUCCCUGCACAGCCAUUAGCCAAUGACUGGCAAAGGAGAGGGAAAGCUCGGAUCCAUUGCCUCGUUUGGGAAAAACUCGGAGACAUGAUUCGCACUCUGGAGUUUUCCUGCAGGAUCAGGCCUACAUCCCCUUUCUGAAAUUUCUCAUAAACCACGGUCCCCUGCUUGGCUUUUUCCCCUUCCCUGCCCAUCAUCCAUCUUCCUCUACUUCUCUCCUUCAUUUCAGAAUCUGCAUCUGAGAAAACUGCCCUAAGAUAAGGAAUAUGCUUAUCUUCCAAUUUGAGUUCUGUAAACAACAGCCAAGAGAGCAGGGGUGACGAUACAGCUGAGCCACAAUCAAGUUUCUUAUUAUUUUCCAGGCACAGAAGAUUCCAGUCCACAUCCUUUCUUCCUUUCAUUCCCAAGAUAUAGCAAUAGAAGUCUGAAGACGGUAAACUCUAAUAACUGUUCCCUGAAUAGAAAAUAACAAGCCUUCCCCUCCAUACCUAACAGUCCCCAAUACAAUUGGUGUUCAUAAUAUGCAGUUUGAAGACAAUGAUGACCAAUGACCAAAGGCAUAAUCUGAAUCACAGCCCUAUAUCAGUGCUCUGGACCCACAUAUCCUCUUGCUUACCCAGUGAUGUUUACCAGGAGGCAUCUUGCCAGAAAGGAAAUCAGCUGUGGGGGCUAUACAGUUCCAGGAGCCAGCCCAUCAAGAAGGCAUUUGUGAGUUUCAGGGCGUGGGGAUACAGUGGAACAAAAGUGGUGUCUGUUUGCUUGCAUCAUGGAAGCAGCAUUGGAAGAAAUCACUCCUGACCAACCGAUGCCAGUUGGUGGAGCCCAGAUUUUUAAAACUAGCUGAUUGCCCAUCAAGAAGGAUGUCCAAGGGAUGAACCCACCAGCCUGACUCUCUCCCUCCCUCUGUUUGAUUUUUUCAGGAGUGCUACUCUGUGAUAGGCUGCACUCAUGUGAUGAUUACUGUAUUGUGCAUUUGCUGAUUCUUAUGAUGUACAGACUUUCCAAAGCUCAGCUGCUUUAUAAUGUCCAAAUUAAUACCAACAGCAUUUCUGGGAAGAGGAAGGGAACUACUGUGACAUAUGGACCAAAUCUGAUGAUUCACAUAAAACUCAUCAUCAUUAUUUUACCUCCUUUGUCCCCUUCUAGUCCUUUAAGAAAUAAGAAUCAAUCAUUGUCACAUUGUCUAGUUAUUUAUGCUGUACUUACCCAAAAAGGUAAGUUUACAUCUCAUGAAUUUUGACUUAUUGAGAAGAAAUCCAAUCUCAGUCCUGGAUUGAGACUGUUCUUGUUGUUAAUUAAUGAAAACUGAAUUAUAGAUUGUUUUGUACAAAAAGUGUUAUUGAAAGAAAUGUCACACUAAAAGGUAUAUCAAAAGCC